UAAGAGGUUAGUAAUGGUUCUGAAGUGUAUUCGUUAUUUAAGUAGCUACCUCACAGGGAAAUAUUAAAAAAUAAAAUAAAAUACAUUCCCAGAGAUGGAUAAUAACAUCUGAAUAGAAGAAUAAAAGCAACAAAUAGACACAGACUCAAAUGAGGUAAAUAUAACAACAAUGGGAAUGGACUAUCAGAAAAGUGAUGUUAUGUCUUCACUUUUUGUUUCACUCGACGAGCCAAACAUUGUAAUUAAGUAAUGUGUCCAAAUGAUUGAAGCAGUGUCCAUCUUCUUUACUUCCAUCAGACAAACGAUGUGGGCCAGAGCUGUAAUACUUUUCAUUGGUGUGUUAUUCCAUUACCAGCAGGUAAGCAGUACAUUGUAAUGGUAUUUGAAAUGAGCCGGUAUAUGGCCAUUAUACCACGGUUAAGGGCUGUUCUUAUGCACAACGCAAUGCAGAGUGCCUGGAUACAGCCCUUAGCCGUGGUAUAUUGGCCAUAUAUUGCUAUUAUAAACUGGUUACCAAUGUAAUUAGAGUAGUAAAAAUAAAUGUUUUGUCAUACCCGUGGUAUACGGUCUGAUAUACUAUGGCUGGCAGCCAAUCAGCAUUCAGGGCUCAAAUCAGCCAGUUUAUAAUGUCCCUUUAGUGAUGAAAUAUAAUGUGUCUCUCUCUUCAUUGACACAGGCCUUAGCAGUGGGUGAGUUAUUUAUGCAUUUAUGUCUGAAUACAUAACAAACCAAGCAGCUUACUCUCUAUGAAAAGGUGAAAUUACUAAGUAACUCACACAAGCAGAUGCACACUUGGAGACCCUCUCCUCUUAUCAUUUAAAUCAGAAGUCGAACAGGCUCUCAUGCCUAUUUGCCAAAAUGUUUCCUUUAUGUCACUGAUUGUUUUAGAUACCUACAUGGCUGAGUUCAUGAUAGAAAGCAAUGCUACGUUGUACGUCUCUGGUGCUCUAUCAGCAAUCAAGCAAAUAGCAACACCUAAUACAACAAUGACUAUUGAACUGCUUGAACUAACAGCAGAAUGUCAAAUUGUCGGGAAUGCUUCUACGUGUAACUGUUCAUCAGCGUACAUCUGGAGUAACGACGUGUGUGGCAAUUUCCAGUGUUGCAAUUACUCAUAUUGUAACGCAAAUAUUUCUGACUACCCAGCCCUCUGCAUACCCAAAGUGAAAGGUACUAUUGCUGAUACUGUUAUUUGUGCUAUCAUUCUUCUAUAUGAUCAAUAGCCUAGCCCUAGUUGAUACU
This 1242-nucleotide long non-coding RNA is filed under the name Oncorhynchus kisutch (coho salmon). Its description in RNAcentral is "lncRNA (ENSOKIG00005028678.1)". Lineage: Eukaryota; Metazoa; Chordata; Actinopteri; Salmoniformes; Salmonidae. The record is from RNAcentral.